This 237-nucleotide unclassified non-coding RNA is filed under the name plant metagenome. Its description in RNAcentral is "partial contains small subunit ribosomal RNA, internal transcribed spacer 1, and 5.8S ribosomal RNA". The record is from RNAcentral.
UCUCCGUUGGCGAACCAGCGGAGGGAUCAUCACCGAGUUUACAACUCCCAAACCCCAUGUGAACCUUACCAAACGUUGCUUCGGCGGGAUGCCCCGGGCGCGGGCCGCAAGGCCUCAGCCCCGGAACCAGGCGCCCGCCGGAGGCCCAAACCAAACUCUUGUUUUUGUAGAAUCUUCUGAGUGGCCUUUUAGGCAAAAAAUGAAUCAAAACUUUCAACAACGGAUCUCUUGGUUCUG